RNAcentral lists this non-coding RNA (32 nucleotides) under Mus musculus (house mouse). Lineage: Eukaryota; Metazoa; Chordata; Mammalia; Rodentia; Muridae. The record is from RNAcentral.
UACAGCACUAAACAUUAAAACCACCGACCUGU